UAUCUCUAGAAGCUGCUUCUUCUAUUUAUGAAGAUGUUGAAUAAUCGGCUUCCCCCGACAAACAGGUCUCGACGGGUAAACCUAUCUCGACUGUGAAACAGGCUGCCGAUGCCGUUACUGCUCUUGCUUCUGCUAAAGCGACUUAGACAAUGAAUACUGCUCGUGCCUUAUAAUGUCCGAUUGCUGCCGUCAUUUAGAUUCACUUAAAGAAGACCUACUCUCAUGUGAAUAAAUCUCGUCUGUUUUAUCUUCAAUAUGCUCUAGCCAACUUAUGUCAGGGUGAAUUGAGUAUCAAUGAAUAUUAUCUUGCUG
Molecule: long non-coding RNA, 312 nt
Filed under: Linum usitatissimum (flax)
Lineage: Eukaryota; Viridiplantae; Streptophyta; Magnoliopsida; Malpighiales; Linaceae
Description: long non-coding RNA (LUSI_LNC003724)
Source: RNAcentral